Molecule: ribosomal RNA, 497 nt
Filed under: uncultured bacterium
Lineage: Bacteria
Description: partial 16S ribosomal RNA
Rfam family: Bacterial small subunit ribosomal RNA
Source: RNAcentral
GAUGAACGCUGGCGGCGUGCCUAAUACAUGCAAGUCGAGCGAACAGACGAGGCUCUUGCUCCUCUGUCGUUUGCCGCGCACGGGUGAAUAACACGUGGAUAAUCCCCCUAUCAGACUGGGAUCACUUCGGGAAACCGGCUCUUAUACCGGAUAAUCUCUUGCACCGUGUUGUUCAAUAGUGAAAUUCGGUUUUUCUGUCACUUCUCGCUGCAUCCCGGCCGCAUUAGCUAGUUGUUAAGGUAACGGCUUACCAAGGCAAGCAUGCGUAACCGACGUGAGAGGGUGAUAGGCCACACAGGAACUGAGACAGGGACCAGACGCCUACGGGAGGCACCAGUAGGGAAUCGUACGCAAUGGGAGAAAGCAUGACGGAGUAACGCCGAGCGAGUGAUGAAGAUGUUCGGAUCGUAAAAAUGUGUUAUGAGGGAAGAACAAAUGUGUAAGUAACUAUGCACGUCUUGACGGUAAUGGAUAAGAAAGCAACGGCUAACUACGUG